CAGCUUGCUGCUUCGCUGACGAGUGGCGGACGGGUGAGUAAUGUCUGGGAAACUGCCUGAUGGAGGGGGAUAACUACUGGAAACGGUAGCUAAUACCGCAUAACGUCGCAAGACCAAAGAGGGGGACCUUCGGGCCUCUUGCCAUCGGAUGUGCCCAGAUGGGAUUAGCUAGUAGGUGGGGUAACGGCUCACCUAGGCGACGAUCCCUAGCUGGUCUGAGAGGAUGACCAGCCACACUGGAACUGAGACACGGUCCAGACUCCUACGGGAGGCAGCAGUGGGGAAUAUUGCACAAUGGGCGCAAGCCUGAUGCAGCCAUGCCGCGUGUAUGAAGAAGGCCUUCGGGUUGUAAAGUACUUUCAGCGGGGAGGAAGGCGAUAAGGUUAAUAACCUUGUCGAUUGACGUUACCCGCAGAAGAAGCACCGGCUAACUCCGUGCCAGCAGCCGCGGUAAUACGGAGGGUGCAAGCGUUAAUCGGAAUUACUGGGCGUAAAGCGCACGCAGGCGGUCUGUCAAGUCGGAUGUGAAAUCCCCGGGCUCAACCUGGGAACUGCAUUCGAAACUGGCAGGCUAGAGUCUUGUAGAGG
Molecule: ribosomal RNA, 588 nt
Filed under: Enterobacter hormaechei subsp. xiangfangensis
Lineage: Bacteria; Pseudomonadati; Pseudomonadota; Gammaproteobacteria; Enterobacterales; Enterobacteriaceae
Description: bacterial SSU rRNA
Rfam family: Bacterial small subunit ribosomal RNA
Source: RNAcentral